RNAcentral lists this ribosomal RNA (337 nucleotides) under uncultured bacterium. Its description in RNAcentral is "bacterial SSU rRNA". It matches the Rfam family "Bacterial small subunit ribosomal RNA", at positions 32 to 342 of the family's 1533-position model. The record is from RNAcentral.
AUCAACGCUGGCGGCGUGCCUCAGACAUGCAAGUCGAACGCGAAAUUUCCCUUCGGGGAGAAAGUAGAGUGGCGCACGGGUGAGUAACACGUAGGUAAUUUGCCUUUGGGUGGGGAAUAACUCAGGGAAACUUGAGCUAAUACCGCAUAAUGCAGCGGCUCGACAUCGAGACAGUUGUUAAAGCGGGGAGUUGGAGCAAUCCGACCUCGCGCCUAAAGAGAAGCCUGCGGCAGAUUAGCUAGUUGGUAAGGUAAUGGCUUACCAAGGCGACGAUCUGUAACCGGCCUGAGAGGGCGGGUCGGUCACACUGACACUGACAUACGGGUCAGACUCCUAC